RNAcentral lists this ribosomal RNA (507 nucleotides) under Triticum aestivum (bread wheat). RNAcentral describes it as "partial small subunit ribosomal RNA". The record is from RNAcentral. Lineage: Eukaryota; Viridiplantae; Streptophyta; Magnoliopsida; Poales; Poaceae.
AUGACGGCAAUACUUCAAUACACAUUUGACAAGAUGAAUGCGUACUUUCUAAAGUACUUGAUGGAAACUGAUGCACAGAUAGCGGGUGAGAACCCGCGCAAGUACAAGUACAAGUUCCCACCCAAGGUUGAUGAAUGGUUAGAAUUUCAAUCACGAAAGGCGGACUUAGAAGAAGCUAUAUUAUAUGACAAUGAAGAGUGGAAGUAUGAAGUGAAAGAGCCAGGAGGAACCACAAACGAUGGUCGGCAACAUGGAGGUCGGGCUUUCAAGGUGUCUUUAACACAAUGUGAUUGCUCUUGCGUGAGGCCAUUGUUGCUUCAUCUCCCAUGCUCACAUUUGUAUACCGCCAGUCGCAUUAGAAAUGUGGACAUCAAUCACCCACGCACCAUGAGGGAGUUGGAGUUCUCAAUCAUGACGGUCAAGAAAACAUGGGCUCCCCGCUUUCACCCAUACUUUGACCAAUCACAAUGGCCGGAGUACCAUGGAGUUCAACUAUGGCCGGAUCCG